Molecule: long non-coding RNA, 838 nt
Organism: Oncorhynchus tshawytscha (Chinook salmon)
Lineage: Eukaryota; Metazoa; Chordata; Actinopteri; Salmoniformes; Salmonidae
Source: Ensembl
GAGGUGCUGGCUAGCAGAGUAGAACACUUGGUUAGGGGAGGUGCUGGCUAGCAGAGUAGAACACUUGGUUAGGGGAGGUGCUGGCUAGCAGAGUAGGACACCUGGUCAGAGUAGAACACCUGGUUAGGGGAGGUACUGGCUAGCAGAGUAGAACACCUGUUUAGGGGAGGUACUGGGCUAGCAGAGUAGAACACCUGGUUAGGGGAGGUACUGGGCUAGCAGAGUAGAACACCUGGUUAGGGGAGGUACUGGGCUAGCAGAGUAGAACACCUGGUUAGAGGAGGCGCUGGCUAGCAGAGUAGAACACCUGGUUAGGGGAGGUACUGGGCUAGCAGAGGAGAACACCUGGUUAGGGGAGGUGCUGGCUGAGGGGAGUAAAACACUUGCUUAGGGGAGGUGCUGGCUGAGGGGAGUAGAACAUCUGGUUAGUGGAGGUACUGACUAGCAGAGUAGAACACCUGGUUAGGGGAGGUGCUGGCUAGCAGAGUUUAACACCUGGUUAGGGGAGGUGCUGGCUAGCAGAGUAGAACACCUGGUUAGGGGAGGUACUGGCUAGCAGAGUAGAACACCUGGUUAGGGGAGGUGCUGGCUAGCAGAGUAGAACACCUGGUUAGGGGAGGUACUGGCUAGCAGAGUAGAACACCUGGUUAGGGGAGGUACUGGCUAGCAGAGUAGAACACCUGGUUAGGGGAGGUGCUGGCUAGCAGAGUAGAACACCUGGUUAGGGGAGGUGCUGGGCUAGCUGAGUAGAACACCUGGUUAGGGGAGGUACUGGCUAGCAGAGUAGAACACCUGGUUAGGGGAGGUGCUGGCUAGCAGAGUAGAACACCUGGUUAGG